This 440-nucleotide ribosomal RNA is filed under the name uncultured bacterium. Its description in RNAcentral is "partial 16S ribosomal RNA". It matches the Rfam family "Bacterial small subunit ribosomal RNA", at positions 338 to 795 of the family's 1533-position model. The record is from RNAcentral.
CCUACGGGAGGCAGCAGUGGGGAAUAUUGCACAAUGGGGGAAACCCUGAUGCAGCGACGCCGCGUGAGUGAAGAAGUAUCUCGGUACGUAAAGCUCUAUCAGCAGGGAAGAAAAUGACGGUACCUGACUAAGAAGCCCCAGCUAACUACGUGCCAGCAGCCGCGGUAAUACGUAGGGGGCAAGCGUUAUCCGGAGUUACUGGGUGUAAAGGGAGCGUAGACGGGAGCACAAGGCUGGAGUGAAAUCCCGGGGCUUAACCCCGGAACUGCUUUGGAAACUGUGCGGCUGGAGUGCAGGAGGGGUAAGCGGAAUUCCUAGUGUAGCGGUGAAAUGCGUAGAUAUUAGGAGGAACACCGGUGGCGAAGGCGGCUUACUGGACGGUAACUGACGUUGAGGCUCGAAAGCGUGGGGAGCAAACAGGAUUAGAUACCCCUGUAGUC